AGCGAACGCUGGCGGCAGGCUUAACACAUGCAAGUCGAACGGGCACUUCGGUGUCAGUGGCAGACGGGUGAGUAACGCGUGGGAACAUACCUCUUGGUUCGGAACAACACAGGGAAACUUGUGCUAAUACCGGAUAAGCCCUUACGGGGAAGAUUUAUCGCCGAGAGAUUGGCCCGCGUCUGAUUAGCUAGUUGGUGUGGUAAAAGCGCACCAAGGCGACGAUCAGUAGCUGGCUGAGAGGAUGAUCAGCCACAUUGGGACUGAGACACGGCCCAAACUCCUACGGGAGGCAGCAGUGGGGAAUAUUGGACAAUGGGCGCAAGCCUGAUCCAGCCAUGCCGCGUGAGUGAUGAAGGCCCUAGGGUUGUAAAGCUCUUUUGUACGGGAAGAUAAUGACGGUACCGUAAGAAUAAGCCCCGGCUAACUUCGUGCCAGCAGCCGCGGU
Molecule: ribosomal RNA, 445 nt
Filed under: uncultured bacterium
Lineage: Bacteria
Description: bacterial SSU rRNA
Rfam family: Bacterial small subunit ribosomal RNA
Source: RNAcentral